UACGAGUAAAGAUGCUCGUUUCGCGCAGAAGGACGGAAAGACCCCGGGACCUUUACUACAGUUUGAUAUUGGUGUUCGGUUCGGCUUGUGUAGGAUAGGUGGGAGACUGUGAAGCGGGCACGCCAGUGUUCGUGGAGUCAACGUUGAAAUACCACUCUGGUCGUGCUGGAUGUCUAACCUCGGUCCGUGAUCCGGAUCAGGGACAGUGUCUGAUGGGUAGUUUAACUGGGGCGGUUGCCUCCCAAAGGGUAACGGAGGCGCCCAAAGGUUCCCUCAGCCUGGUUGGUAAUCAGGUGUUGAGUGUAAGUGCACAAGGGAGCUUGACUGUGAGACCGACGGGUCGAGCAGGGACGAAAGUCGGGACUAGUGAUCCGGCGGUGGCUUGUGGAAGCGCCGUCGCUCAACGGAUAAAAGGUACCCCGGGGAUAACAGGCUGAUCUUCCCCAAGAGUCCAUAUCGACGGGAUGGUUUGGCACCUCGAUGUCGGCUCGUCGCAUCCUGGGGCUGGAGUCGGUCCCAAGGGUUGGGCUGUUCGCCCAUUAAAGCGGUACGCGAGCUGGGUUUAGAACGUCGUGAGACAGUUCGGUCCCUAUCCUCUGUGCGCGUAGGAAUAUUGAGAAGGGCUGUCCCUAGUACGAGAGGACCGGGACGGACGAACCUCUGGUGUGCCAGUUGUCCUGCCAAGGGCAUGGCUGGUUGGCUACGUUCGGAAAGGAUAACCGCUGAAAGCAUCUAAGCGGGAAGCCUGCUUCGAGAUGAGUAUUCCCACCCCCUUUGAGGGGUUAAGGCUCCCAGUAGACGACUGGGUUGAUAGGCCAGAUCUGGAAGCCCGGUAACGGGUGGAGGUGACUGGUACUAAUAGGCCGAGGGCUUGUCCUCAGUUG
This 884-nucleotide ribosomal RNA is filed under the name Streptomyces sp. SID335. Its description in RNAcentral is "partial 23S ribosomal RNA". It matches the Rfam family "Bacterial large subunit ribosomal RNA", at positions 2045 to 2925 of the family's 2925-position model. The record is from RNAcentral. Lineage: Bacteria; Bacillati; Actinomycetota; Actinomycetes; Kitasatosporales; Streptomycetaceae.